CCCACAAAGGGUGUUGGUCGA
Molecule: small RNA, 21 nt
Filed under: Arabidopsis thaliana (thale cress)
Lineage: Eukaryota; Viridiplantae; Streptophyta; Magnoliopsida; Brassicales; Brassicaceae
Description: AGO1_2756
Source: RNAcentral